CCACCUGCUCUCUGGCUGCCGCCCCGCGGCCACACAGAGAUGAUGUUCCUUUCACCUGGCCGAAGCCGGGGUUAGGGUCGGGGUCUGGAUGACCAGCACCACUCACAAACGCAGGCAGCCCCUCUGGGUCCGUGGCUGCCGGGGUCUUAGCUGGUAUUUGGACUAGACCCAGAGCGAAGAGGUGACUGUCGCUUUAACAAACCCUCUGGAAUCUCAGCUGGGACCUGGAAGGUGCUGAAAGAGCCAACCCACGCGCCUGCGUAUAGGCUGGUUGAGAGGCCCACCUCUCCCUCAUUGGCGCUAGGCCUCAACUGAGUCAUUGCUUUGUCACCGCCUUUCCCAGCGUGAAGAGGAGCAGGCAGAGCGUGAUCAGAAAGGCCAGGCCAAUGAGAAAUCGAGGAGGGCAUCGGGGGCGCACGUGCUCAGAACUCUGAUUGGAGGAUGGAAGGCACCGGCCCGGGAAAGGACCAAUGGGAGGAUAUAUUUUGAUGUUAUUCCACUCCUCACCCUCUGUUCCCAGGAAGGUGGUUGUAGAGGUUCAAUGACAGUCAGAACUAGCCACAAGGAAUACAAGGGCUAAGCUGAAACCUGCUGCUCCACAUGUUGGAAAGGAAGAAGAAAAGUCAAACACUUAGAGAAAGCCUCCUCAAAUCAACAAAAAGGAGAGAAAAUAGAGAGAGGGGAAGAAACAGAAGAGCCUCUGUUUCAUAGUCUUCCAGGAAUAAGGAUAAAAAAAAAACAAACCUGACAUAGAACAUGCCUCCUGUCCUAUAAAAAUGAAAUGAAAGAAUGAGUUUAAGCCUUAUAUCUUCAAGGCCCAUUUGUUAGAUCC
RNAcentral lists this long non-coding RNA (832 nucleotides) under Monodelphis domestica (gray short-tailed opossum). RNAcentral's name for it is "lncRNA (ENSMODG00000041223.1)". Lineage: Eukaryota; Metazoa; Chordata; Mammalia; Didelphimorphia; Didelphidae. The record is from RNAcentral.